AAUUUCUCAAGCUAGGAUGGCUUUUUGUCUGUCCUUAGCCUUGGUUGUUGGGCUUUGCCGUAUCCUUCAUUGGGACGGCUGGCCUUAAAAGCAUUAGCUGAUCCUCGUGUGGCACUGGUUCUACUCAGCGUGAUAACAGUCUGAUCGCUGAGGACAUCUUUUGGGAUGGCCAGUCCUCAUUUGGGUUGCUUCUAAACUUGGUUUCGCGGAUUGUUCAAUCUGCGUUCCACUUUCCAG
RNAcentral lists this unclassified non-coding RNA (237 nucleotides) under uncultured Clavulina. RNAcentral describes it as "sequence contains ITS2". Lineage: Eukaryota; Fungi; Basidiomycota; Agaricomycetes; Cantharellales; Hydnaceae. The record is from RNAcentral.